UACGUAGGGUGCGAGCGUUAAUCGGAAUUACUGGGCGUAAAGCGUGCGCAGGCGGUUUUGUAAGCCAGAUGUGAAAUCCCCGGGCUUAACCUGGGAAUGGCAUUUGGGACUGCAAGGCUCGAGUGCGGCAGAGGAGACUGGAAUUCCUGGUGUAGCAGUGAAAUGCGCAGAUAUCAGGAGGAACACCAGCGGCGAAGGCGGCGCUCUGGGCCGGUACUGACGCUGAGGAGCGAAAGCGUGGGGAUCAAACAGG
Molecule: ribosomal RNA, 253 nt
Filed under: uncultured bacterium
Lineage: Bacteria
Description: partial 16S ribosomal RNA
Rfam family: Bacterial small subunit ribosomal RNA
Source: RNAcentral